UCUCGGCUUAUCACCGGCAGUCCCCCUAGAGUGCCCAACUUAAUGAUGGCAACUAGGGGCGAGGGUUGCGCUCGUUGCGGGACUUAACCCAACAUCUCACGACACGAGCUGACGACAGCCAUGCAGCACCUGUGUCCACGCCCCUUGCGGGGAGGAAUCCAUCUCUGGAAGCCGUCGUGGCAUGUCAAGGGCUGGUAAGGUUCUUCGCGUUGCGUCGAAUUGAACCACAUGCUCCACCGCUUGUGCAGGCCCCCGUCAAUUUCUUUGAGUUUUAGCCUUGCGACCGUACUUCCCAGGCGGUCCACUUAGCACUUUUGCUUCGACCAUGACGGCGUUAGAACCGCCACGAUCUAGUGGACAUCGUUUAGGGCCAGGACUAC
Molecule: unclassified non-coding RNA, 380 nt
Filed under: uncultured bacterium
Lineage: Bacteria
Description: contains 16S-23S intergenic spacer region
Source: RNAcentral